This 776-nucleotide ribosomal RNA is filed under the name uncultured organism. RNAcentral describes it as "bacterial SSU rRNA". It matches the Rfam family "Bacterial small subunit ribosomal RNA", at positions 622 to 1401 of the family's 1533-position model. The record is from RNAcentral.
GUCGUUCAAUACUGCGUGUCGAGAGGAUGUCAGAGGGGAGUGGAAUUUUCCGGAGUAGCGGUNAAAUGCGCAGAGAUCGGAAAGUACACCAAUGGCGAAGGCAGCUCCCUGGGGCAAACCCUGACGCUAAGAGACGAAAGCUAGGGGAACGAACAGGAUUAGAGACCCUGGUAGUCAUAGCCCUUCACGAUGGAUGCUGGAUAUGGGACCAUAGCGCUCCGUGUCUGAAGCUGAACGCGGUAAGCAUCCCGCCUGGGGACUACGGCCGCAAGGCUAAGACUCAAACGAAGGGACGGGACCCCGCACAAGCAGCGGAGCGUGUCGACUCUAAUUCGAUGAUACACGAAGAACCUUACCUGGGUUUGACAUCUAGGUGGUAGUGAAGCGAAAGCGGAGCGACCUUUCGGGGAGCAUAAACAGGUACUGCAUGGCUAUCGUCAGCUCGUACCGUGAGGUGUCGGGUUAAGUCCCGUAACGAGCAGCAACCUUUGCCCUCACGUUAUACGUGUCAGAGGGGACUGCCGUCGGUAAGCCGGAGGAAGGUGGGGAUGACAGUCAAGUCAGUAUGGCCUUUAUAUCCAGGGCUACACACACGCUACAAUGUUCAGUACAAAGUGGCAGCGAAGCCGCGAGGUGGAGCGAAUCUCAGCAAAGCUGGUAGUAGUUCGGAUUGCAGGCUGCAACCCGCAUUGCACGAAGCUGGAGUUGAUAGUAACCGCGCGUCAGCCAUAGUGCGGUGAAUACGUUCCCGGGGUUUGUACACACCGCCCGUCACA